CAGCCGCCACGGUAAAACGUAGGUGGCAAGCGUUGUCCGGAAUUAUUGGGCGUAAAGGGCUCGCAGGCGGUUUCUUAAGUCUGAUGUGAAAGCCCCCGGCUCAACCGGGGAGGGUCAUUGGAAACUGGGAAACUUGAGUGCAGAAGAGGAGAGUGGAAUUCCACGUGUAGCGGUGAAAUGCGUAGAGAUGUGGAGGAACACCAGUGGCGAAAGCGGCUCUCUGGUCUGUAACUGACGCUGAGGCUCGAAAGCGUGGGGAGCAAACAGGAUUAGAGACCCCCGUAGUCCCUGUCUCUUAUAA
Molecule: ribosomal RNA, 301 nt
Filed under: uncultured bacterium
Lineage: Bacteria
Description: partial 16S ribosomal RNA
Rfam family: Bacterial small subunit ribosomal RNA
Source: RNAcentral